AAUUUCAAUCUCGGAAUAAGAGAUAAUAAGCUGGAAAGUCGUAUAUACUUUAAUUACAGCGUUUUAAAAGUUCCCUUAAAAUCACAGAGAAUCUCGUGUGCGCAUGGGGAGUUAUUUCAUAACAUGGGUUAUAUCGUUUAAAAUCAUCCAGCAAACCUGAGGAAACAACUCAAAAUUUGCAUAGAGCUACUUUGUCCCUCUUGUCGAUAAAAUACAAUUUUCUCAUCAGUUUUUGAAGAAUACAGAGAGCACUAUCGUAAAGCCACAUCUGGUCUGAUGAAAAAAAUAUAUCUAAAAAUACUUCAUCGCACAUUUCACCUGAUAAGGAAACAACUAUUUCAGUAUUUGAAAACUAAUUUAAUAUACUUUGCUAUAAAAUCUUUUAUACCAUGGCUUAACUUAAAUUGCGUCAAAACAAGUAUGUUAUCAGCAAUGAUAUUGUGUUUCUUGUGUCCACGGAUGAGUAUACAAAACAUGCUAAAAGCGUCGCCGAGGGUGGACACGAGGAACUGCGACUCGGUGUGCCGCGACCUACCACCCGGGGACACGCAGCCAGUGUGUAUGAUGGCCAGCCGAUACAAAAAAGGAUACCUGUACUUCGCAAAUCACUGCCAAGCGAGACUAGCCAUGUGUAUAGAGAAUUUUGUUUUAAAUAUGGUUCAUUGGAGAAGGUGUCAAAGAUACGGACUAUAUUUAAUGCCCAACCCCUCAUACAUAUCCACCGCAAUGAAUGAAUAAGUAUUGCGAUAGCAUAAAAUGAUGACGAAAAUGCUAUUUUUAUUAUUGUUUAGAAUGUUAUUGUUGUAUUUUUUCACGCCACUGCUAGGAAAUGUGGCAGGCCUGAAGUCUUAACUUAUUUAAGAGUGAAAAUUUAAAUUAAAAACAACACGCUGCACUUUUCCACGAUAUGAUUGUACCAUCAUCCAGUCCCCGCUUAUUUAUGAUUAUGCUCUUUAUAAUUAUCUCGGGCAAUGCUCACUGUAGGAUUCCGUAGUUGCCUGUCCAUCACAACAGGCAGACUUAAAUGAGGGCUUUAUGUAAAUAAUAUGGACAUAACAAACAAAAGGAAGUAUCUUCGCAGCACUUACAUUUUGCCAAAACUCUCAAAAGGUUGGUACUUUUUGCCAAAACUCAAGAAUGUCUCAACUAAUUAUGUUCAAAAUAGUAAAAUAGUAUGAAUGAA
Molecule: long non-coding RNA, 1183 nt
Organism: Cydia pomonella (codling moth)
Lineage: Eukaryota; Metazoa; Arthropoda; Insecta; Lepidoptera; Tortricidae
Exons: 3
Source: RefSeq, a predicted model, not a curated record